Long non-coding RNA from Anthonomus grandis grandis, 678 nucleotides. RefSeq lists it as uncharacterized. The record is from RefSeq and is a predicted model, not a curated record. The transcript is spliced from 3 exons. Lineage: Eukaryota; Metazoa; Arthropoda; Insecta; Coleoptera; Curculionidae.
UUCGUUGAUAACGGUAAAUCCCCAUAAGGAAUUUUUAAUUUAGUGUUUCUGUGGUUUAUACGAAAAAAUAAGACUAUUCAGUUGGAUAAAUUGUGGAAGGAACGUGCCUUUUGAGUGAUUUCUUUUUGUUUUUGCCCAGAACCUUUUGUUGUUGAUAAAAUAAUGGCUUUGAAACAUGUUCUUAAACUUCCGAGCAUCAAUGCUUUUAUAGAUGACAACAAAAUUAUAAAAAGAGGUGAAAAUGCCUUAGAAUCCAGCCACGUCAAGAAGAUGGACUUUGACUCUGAUUUGCAAAUCAUCAGAGGGGAUGUAUUUGCAAGUAUGGAAAACAUGAGCUACAAGGUAUCUAUAGCUUUGGAAAAAAACGGUGAUAUUAAGGAAGCAACUUACGCUUGUCCAAGAGGCAUAAAGUGCCAUCACAUCGCGGCGUUAGCCCUUUUUGGGCAUUACAACAUAUCGAUAACAGAUAAAGCAUGUGCGUGGAAUGCACCACCUAAACCGAAAGAUGGGCCUUUAUCCACCAAAGCCCUAUACAGCACUUGAAGACGAGGUGCCAAAUGCGUCUAUCAACAGAUUGAAGCAAAGGCUUCACAGUUUUGGAAAUACAGUUGGUUUUACGUGGAUAUUGAAUGAGGAGUCACAAAAUCCGUUGGAAAAUUAAUUUGUGGUAAUUGAAGA